Molecule: transfer RNA, 77 nt
Filed under: Deltaproteobacteria bacterium
Lineage: Bacteria; Pseudomonadati; Myxococcota; Myxococcia
Description: tRNA-Arg
Rfam family: tRNA
About the family: Transfer RNA (tRNA) molecules are approximately 80 nucleotides in length. Their secondary structure includes four short double-helical elements and three loops (D, anti-codon, and T loops).
Source: RNAcentral
CCGCGCGUAGCUCAGCUGGAUAGAGCGUCGGACUACGAAUCCGAAGGUCAUAGGUUCGAAUCCUUUCGCGCGGGCCA